GGCGANUGANGCGGCAACAGCUCAAAUUUGAAAGCUAGCCUUCGGGUUCGCAUUGUAAUUUGUAGAGGAUGAUUUGGGGAAGCCGCCUGUCUAAGUUCCUUGGAACAGGACGUCAUAGAGGGUGAGAAUCCCGUAUGUGACAGGAAAUGGCACCCUAUGUAAAUCUCCUUCGACGAGUCGAGUUGUUUGGGAAUGCAGCUCUAAAUGGGAGGUAAAUUUCUUCUAAAGCUAAAUAUUGGCGAGAGACCGAUAGCGCACAAGUAGAGUGAUCGAAAGAUGAAAAGCACUUUGGAAAGAGAGUUAAAAAGCACGUGAAAUUGUUGAAAGGGAAGCGCUUGCAAUCAGACUUGUUUAAACUGUUCGGCCGGUCUUCUGACCGGUUUACUCAGUUUGGACAGGCCAGCAUCAGUUUCGGCGGCCGGAUAAAGGCUCUGGGAAUGUGGCCUCCACUUCGGUGGAGGUGUUAUAGCCCAGGGUGUAAUACGGCCAGCCGGGACUGAGGUCCGCGCUUCGGCUAGGAUGCUGGCGUAAUGGUUGUAAGCGACCCGUCUUGAAACNACG
This 561-nucleotide ribosomal RNA is filed under the name Aureobasidium proteae. Its description in RNAcentral is "eukaryotic LSU rRNA". It matches the Rfam family "Eukaryotic large subunit ribosomal RNA", at positions 88 to 663 of the family's 3401-position model. Lineage: Eukaryota; Fungi; Ascomycota; Dothideomycetes; Dothideales; Saccotheciaceae. The record is from RNAcentral.